RNAcentral lists this ribosomal RNA (325 nucleotides) under uncultured eukaryote. RNAcentral's name for it is "partial 18S ribosomal RNA". It matches the Rfam family "Eukaryotic small subunit ribosomal RNA", at positions 1470 to 1796 of the family's 1831-position model. The record is from RNAcentral.
CCCUUAGAUGUUCUGGGCCGCACGCGCGCUACACUGAUGCAUUCAACGAGUCUAAAACCUGCUCUGAUAGGGGUGGGUAAUCUUUUGAAUGUGCAUCGUGAUAGGGAUAGACUAUUGCAAUUAUUGGUCUUCAACGAGGAAUUCCUAGUAGACGUAGUUCAUCAGACUGCAUCGAUUACGUCCCUGCCCUUUGUACACACCGCCCGUCGCUCCUACCGAUUGAAUGCUCAGGUGAGCCAUUCGGACUUUCAUCAUGCUGGUUUCCAGUUUUGAUGAAGGAAAGUCUUGCGAACCUUAUCAUUUAGAGGAAGGAGAAGUCGUAACA